GGACCGGAUGGUGGGGCGGACACCAUCGGACUUAUAAUCCGAUCGAGCUGUUCUUCUGGUUCGGUUUCGGGCCGCACCA
RNAcentral lists this transfer RNA (79 nucleotides) under Brevundimonas mediterranea. RNAcentral's name for it is "tRNA-Ile(tat)". The record is from RNAcentral. Lineage: Bacteria; Pseudomonadati; Pseudomonadota; Alphaproteobacteria; Caulobacterales; Caulobacteraceae.